GUGGGGAAUAUUGGACAAUGGGGGCAACCCUGAUCCAGCAAUGCCGCGUGUGUGAAGAAGGCCUGCGGGUUGUAAAGCACUUUCGUUGGGGAGGAGAUGGUUGACUGGAUAAGAGUCAACUGGAGACGUUACCCAAAGAAGAAGCACCGGCUAACUCUGUGCCAGCAGCCGCGGUAAUACAGAGGGUGCAAGCGUUAAUCGGAAUUACUGGGCGUAAAGAGCACGUAGGUGGCUAAUUAAGUUGGGUGUGAAAGCCCCGGGCUCAACCUGGGAAGGUCAUUCAAAACUGGUUAGCUAGAGUAUGGUAGAGGGAAGUGGAAUUUCCGGUGUAGCGGUGAAAUGCGUAGAUAUCGGAAGGAACAUCAGUGGCGAAGGCGACUUCCUGGACUAAUACUGACACUGAGGUGCGAAAGCGUGGGGAGCAAACAGGAUUAGAAACCCGUGUAGUCC
This 450-nucleotide ribosomal RNA is filed under the name uncultured bacterium. Its description in RNAcentral is "bacterial SSU rRNA". It matches the Rfam family "Bacterial small subunit ribosomal RNA", at positions 354 to 796 of the family's 1533-position model. The record is from RNAcentral.